UACGUAGGAUGCUAGCGUUGUCCGGAUUUACUGGGUGUAAAGGGAGCGCAGGCGGGUCGGUAAGUCAGUGGUGAAAUUCUCAGGCUUAACCUGAGGACUGCCACCGAAACUACCGAUCUUGAGUGCAGAAGAGGUUGAUGGAAUUCUUGGUGUAGCGGUGAAAUGCGUAGAUAUCAAGAAGAACACCGAUGGCGAAGGCAGUCAACUGGUCUGCUACUGACGCUCAUGCUCGAAAGCGUGGGGAUCAAAC
Molecule: ribosomal RNA, 250 nt
Filed under: uncultured bacterium
Lineage: Bacteria
Description: partial 16S ribosomal RNA
Rfam family: Bacterial small subunit ribosomal RNA
Source: RNAcentral